This 253-nucleotide ribosomal RNA is filed under the name uncultured bacterium. RNAcentral describes it as "partial 16S ribosomal RNA". It matches the Rfam family "Bacterial small subunit ribosomal RNA", at positions 524 to 776 of the family's 1533-position model. The record is from RNAcentral.
UAUGUAGGGUGCAAGCGUUACUCGGAAUUACUGGGCGUAAAGCGUGCGCAGGCGGUUAUGCAAGACAGAGGUGAAAUCCCCGGGCUCAACCUGGGAACUGCCUUUGUGACUGCAUAGCUAGAGUACGGUAGAGGGGGAUGGAAUUCCGCGUGUAGCAGUGAAAUGCGUAGAUAUGCGGAGGAACAUCGAUGGCGAAGGCAAUCCCCUGGACCUGUACUGACGCUCAUGCACGAAAGCGUGGGGAGCAAACAGG